GACGAACGCUGGCGGCGUGCUUAACACAUGCAAGUCGAACGGAAAGGCCCUGCUUUUGUGUGGUGCUCGAGUGGCGAAGGGGUGAGAAACACGUGAGUAACCUUCCCUUGACUUUGGGGUAACUUCAGGAAACUGGGGCUAAUACCGGAUAGGAGCUCCUGCUGCUUGGUGGUGGUUGGAAAGUUUCGGCGGUUGGGGAUGGACUCGCGGCUUAUCAGCUUGUUGGUGGGGUAGUUGAUUACAAAGGUGUCGACGGGUAGCCGGCCUGAGAGGGUGACCGGCCCCAUUGGGACUGAGAUGCGGCCCAGAGUCAUACGGGAGGCAGCAGUGGGAAAUAUUGCACAAUGGGCGGAAGCAUGAUGCAGCAACGCCGCGUGCGGGAUGACGGCCUUCGGGUUGUAAACCGCUUGAGCCUGUGACGAAGAGUGAGUGACGGUAAUGGGUAAAGAAGCAACGGCUAACUACGUG
This 468-nucleotide ribosomal RNA is filed under the name uncultured bacterium. Its description in RNAcentral is "partial 16S ribosomal RNA". It matches the Rfam family "Bacterial small subunit ribosomal RNA", at positions 28 to 507 of the family's 1533-position model. The record is from RNAcentral.